GGCUUGAUGAGUCAGUCCAGUUUUGAGGCCCAUAAAGGGGCAGAGUAGAGUUUCUCUAAGUGAGUUUAUGCCUAUCUCUGCGGGUCAUGGAGUGCCCUCCUCUCUGCUGUCGCUGCUGUGGGGCAUGCCGCUGUGGUAUUAUUGCCACUCCAGUGCCUUCCACUGACCUCUCUGGUAUUCGCCACCCAAAUACUGCACAGAGCUGAUCCAGGCAUGCUAGCAG
Non-coding RNA from Pelobates cultripes (western spadefoot toad), 223 nucleotides. NCBI's taxonomy places the organism in Eukaryota, Metazoa, Chordata, Amphibia, Anura, Pelobatidae. The record is from the annotation of a GenBank genome assembly.